This 491-nucleotide ribosomal RNA is filed under the name uncultured bacterium. RNAcentral's name for it is "partial 16S ribosomal RNA". It matches the Rfam family "Bacterial small subunit ribosomal RNA", at positions 29 to 506 of the family's 1533-position model. The record is from RNAcentral.
AGUGAACGCUGGCGGUAGGCCUAACACAUGCAAGUCGAACGGCAGCACAGUAAGAGCUUGCUCUUACGGGUGGCGAGUGGCGGACGGGUGAGGAAUACAUCGGAAUCUACUUUUUCGUGGGGGAUAACGUAGGGAAACUUACGCUAAUACCGCAUACGACCUACGGGUGAAAGCAGGGGAUCUUCGGACCUUGCGCGAUUGAAUGAGCCGAUGUCGGAUUAGCUAGUUGGCGGGGUAAAGGCCCACCAAGGCGACGAUCCGUAGCUGGUCUGAGAGGAUGAUCAGCCACACUGGAACUGAGACACGGUCCAGACUCAGACGGGAGGCAGCAGUGGGGAAUAUUGGACAAUGGGCGCAAGCCUGAUCCAGCCAUACCGCGUGGGUGAAGAAGGCCUUCGGGUUGUAAAGCCCUUUUGUUGGGAAAGAAAAGCGGCAGGUUAAUACCCCGCUGUUCUGACGGUACCCAAAGAAUAAGCACCGGCUAACUUCGU